This 13499-nucleotide long non-coding RNA is filed under the name Xyrichtys novacula (pearly razorfish). Lineage: Eukaryota; Metazoa; Chordata; Actinopteri; Labriformes; Labridae. The record is from RNAcentral.
UUAAAUGUGUGGUAAUGUUAAAUGACCAUCAUGAAGAGAGAGCGACACUGACAACCUUAAGACAGAGCUGGAGGUGGAGAAGCGCUCAUCUGUAGUUUGUUGGUUUGACCAGCAGGUGGAGCUGCUGUAUAAACAAUAAACUGCGACUCAACCAAACAAGUUCCUGUUUGAGUGAACUUGUUUAAUUUUGACACAGGAGAGGAAGAUGAUUGUCAAGAAUACUGAACUUAAAAGAUGAUCAAAAACUGUCAGUAAAUGUCAUGAGAAGAAGAAUCUGUGAUCUGGUGGUUUAGGUUUCAGUGGAAAGAGUCCCUGUGAAAGUGAAAGUAAACUCAAGAGCAGACUCCAUUUUGAGAAAAGAACAGAGCAGAGAGAGGAGAGGACGAGGAGACAGGGUGAGUGUUUACUCUGGGUUUUCUAAUGUCAAAGUCUUUAUCUGUAUCAUCUGUUAAUGAAAAAUGAUUUACUGACUAAUACACUUAAAAACGGUAAAACAAAGAAACCUGACCAGACAAAGAGCUGGAUCAGUUCUUGAUACAGGAAACUGUGUACGUGCAGUUCUUCCUCCUUCUUGUUUAGACUUGUCUUUUUAGUAAAAACAAAAAUGAGUUUCUUUUCAUUUAGCCUCUCAUUUCAAAUUUAAUCCAGUCCCUUUAAUUUUUUAUGAGACUUCAGGGACCUCACAGCUGUUGUUGUUUUGACCAUGAAUCAGAGAGAGGCCCUGUAGCGUACAGAUUAAACCCUGUAUAACUCUUAAAGAGGGGUAGUAAGCUUAUUUCAGACUGAAUACUUUCUUUUUGAUUCCUCUUUAAUAUCUUUACAUGAUUUUCAGUUUAGUCUCCUGUUUCUCACUCUGGUGUAUUAAAAUAUCUUUAUUUCAGCCUCUUCCUAAAACACUUCAUUUUAGCUGCUGUCUCUUUAAGGCCUCCUGUCCACGAGUCUACUUCUAUUUCUGAACACUGUCCUCCUGUUUGUAUCUCACCUGUUUGUCUACUUUGUCCUCAGGUUGUAUAACUCGGUUUCAUCUUCCAAAAAGUUGCUCAACAUCAGAUGGAGAAGAUGAGUGUUUGUGUCGAGGAAGAGGAGGACAGAGCAGAGUCUGUCAUGUCAGACUGUCUGUCUAUGAAGAGUGACUGUUCUAAAGAUUUUAUCCUGGAGUUCAGGAAAGAACCAGGACCCUCAGAGGAGUGCAGAGCAAAGUCUAUUCCGUCCAGCUGUCUGUCUAUGAAGAGUGACCGGUCUAAAGGUAUUAUCCUGAACUUCAGAAAAGAACCAGAACCCUCAGAUUCACAGUAAGAGAAACACUUUUCAACCACCAAACUCUCAAACAACAACAAUUGAUGUUUCAAAAACAAAACUUUUAAAUUCUGACCCCUCUGUUUUCUACCAUGGUGAGAAAAAUGAUCUCCUCUGCUCUCAAAACGGUGAUUUUCCUCUGUAACCUGCCAACCUGGAUAAAGGGCUGGUGAAGAAAAUUCACUGAGCACAGAUUUACUUAUUAUUCAUCAUGUUGAUAAAAAUUAAGGUCGUAUAAAACAGCAUCUGAAAAGGAUUCUGACCUCUGUAUUUUCUGAUUUGGUUCCUGUGUUUGAGACGUUUUGAGCCUGUAAGUCUUUGGACUGUGGUGUAUAGACCCCAGAAAACAGUCUGUGGGUCACAAAAUACCAGAAGACCGAUGAAGAAAUCAUUCCUGUUUGAUCUUUUGAUCAAAAAACUGUAGAAUUGGUGGAGAAAAUCUCUCCACCCUCAAAAAUCUCAGUUUAGUUUUUCUCCUGUCUCCACACUUUCAGGCAGCAGCAGCUGAAUAUUUUACAGGAGAUUGUUUUAUGUUAGAGAAAAGAGUGAGGUCAGAAACUCUGGUUUAAUAAAUGCUUCUUAUUCUGUAUCUUUCAAACAUGAAAUGAUAAAGAAAAUAAAUGUUCUUUAUUUCCACAGAGAGACACAGAGAUGUGACUCUGUGGAGGAGCAGCUGUCCAGAUGUUCAUCAUGUCAGGACGUCCUGAAGGAUCCAGUCUCUUACCGCUGUGGACACCUGUCCUGCAGACAGUGCCUGGCCUCAUGCAGGGACCAGUCUACUUCUUUAGGACACACCUCCUGUCCCCAGUGUGGAAAAAGAACCAGAACAGCUCUUGUCUCUCAGACAGACAGUCAGUCCAGCUCUGAUGGAAGUAAGUCUGAACAUCUGUCCUCUAAAGUCUCUGUGGAUGAAAACUCAGCUGACUGAUUUUCACAAAGACGUUUUCGUGUUGAGAAGUUUGGUUCAUUUGAUUUUUCUUCUCUUUCAGAAGAUGGCGGUCUGCAGGAGGUUUUAGAUGAACAUAAGAUCAGUCUGAAGAGGAGAUGUGAACGUGUGAAUGAAGGAAGUGAUGGAACAGGAAGUAGUCAAACCCUCCUCAACAGGAUCUUCACUGAGCUCUACAUCACACAGGGACUGAGUGAAGAGGUGAACACCCAACAUGAGGUGAGACAGCUGGAGACAGCUUCAAAGAUGGAGACCCUCCAUGACACGCCCAUCAAGUGUCAUGAGAUCUUUCAAACCUUACCUGACCAACAGAAGAAGGUCAUCAGAGUGGUUCUGACCAACGGCGUGGCUGGUGUUGGAAAAACCUUCUCAGUGCAGAAGUUCACUCUGGACUGGGCAGAGGGUUUGGAGAACCAAGACCUCAAUCUGGUGAUCCUGCUUUCAUUCAGGGAGCUGAACCUGAUCAGAGAUGAGCGCUUCAGUCUUCUGAGUCUGCUCCAUGUUUUCCAUCCAACACUAGAGAAGGUCACAGCAGAGACGCUGGCUGUCUGUAAACUUCUGUUCAUCUUUGACGGUCUGGAUGAAAGCAGACUGUCUCUGGAUUUCACAGACUCUGAGGUGGUGUCUGACGUCACACAGAAGUCUUCACUGAACGUUCUGAUAACAAACCUCAUCAAGGGGAACCUGCUCCCCUCAGCUCUCAUCUGGAUAACUUCUCGACCUGCAGCAGCCAAUCAGAUCCCUCCUUCAUGUGUGGACAGGGUAACAGAAGUACGAGGCUUCACUGACGACCAGAAGGAGGUGUACUUCAGGAAGAGGUUCAGAGAUGAGGAACUGUCCAGAAGAAUCAUCUCACACAUCAAGUCCUCCAGGAGCCUCCACAUCAUGUGUCAGAUCCCGGUCUUCUGCUGGAUCACUGCUACAGUUCUGGAGGACAUGAUGAGCAGAGAGCAGAGAGGAGAGCUGCCCAAGACCCUGACGGACAUGUACUCACACUUCCUGCUGGUCCAGACUAAGAGGAAGAAGCAGAAGUAUGAAGGAGGACAUGAGACAAGUCCUCAGGAGCUGACGGAGGCUGACAGUGAAGUCCUCCUGAAGCUGGGGAGGCUGGCCUUUGAACAUCUGGAGAAAGGAGACAUCAUGUUCUACCAAGAAGACCUGGAGCGGUGUGGUCUGGAUGUCUCAGAGGCCUCGGUGUACUCAGGAGUUUGUACAGAGAUCUUCAGAAGAGAGAGUGUGAUCUUCCAGAAAACUGUUUACUGUUUCGUUCAUCUGAGCGUUCAGGAGUUUCUGGCUGCAGUCUACGUGAUCCACAGUUUCACAAACAGGAACACAAAAGUUCUGAAGACUUUCCUAAGAGGCAACAAUGACGAAGACAAAAUGUCUCACUUAAAGACGGUUUCCAGAUCUUUUAAAAACCUAAAUCUCUUCCUGAAGAAUGCCAUGAAGAAAUCUCUUGUCAGUAAAAACGGUCACCUGGACCUGUUUGUUCGCUUCCUUCAUGGACUCUCUCUGGAGUCAAACCAGAGACUCUUAGGAGGUCUGCUGGGUCACACAGGCAACAGUCCAAUAAUGAUCCAAAGAGUCAUCAACAACCUGAAGGAGAUGAACAGUAGAGAUAUCUCUCCUGACAGAAGCAUCAACAUCUUCCACUGUCUGAUGGAGAUGAACGAUCUGUCAGUUCAUCAGGAGAUCCAAGAGUUCCUGAAGUCAGAGAAGAGGUCAAGUAGGAAAUUCUCAAUUAUCCAAUGCUCUGCUCUGGCCUACAUGCUGCAGAUGUCAGAGGAGGUUCUGGAUGAGUUGGACUUUAAGAAGUAUAAAACAUCAAACCAGGGACGACUGAGACUGAUGCCAGCUGUGAGGAACUGCAGAAAAGCUCGGUAAGUCCAGGUUUUAUUCUCAGAAUAGUGUAAAUGAUCCCUGUAGUUCUUCUAAUGUCCACGUUACUGAUGAUGUUCUUCUUCAAAUAGAAAUCAGCUAAAACUAUCAGGGAGGGGGUUUCUUUAGGUUCAGCGAAAACAUGAUCCUGGUUUUUGUCUGUAAUGAAUAAAGUGGAACUUUCAGGACAAAUCAGCGACCAUAUCUGAGGACACACAGAGGUCUUCUGAUGAUGGUAUCAGUCCAGAUCAACAUCUCAGUCAGUUGUGGUGAACUUGAGUUUGAAGAAGGUGUCUGCAGCUUCUUCCUGCUGGAACUGGAUCAUUUUCUACACAGUGGCAGAACUGUCUCUGUACCAUCAUGUUCGUCAUCAUCAAUACAACCAUGAAAACUAACAUCAUUUUCCACCACUCACUGGAUAUUAUCUGGUGAACUAGAACAUAUGCAUGAUGAGAACAUGAGUUAUUUGGACAGCAGCUCCAUGUGUCUGAAAACAAUGGUGGAAAUAGGAUGUUAAUGUCUCUCUCUAUGCUAAUGACGCACUAACACUAGUCUGCCUCAUAACACCUCAUAGUAUGGGGAAACAGCUGUGCUCUUCCACUGUAUAUAUGGACACCAUGUCUCUAAGGAGAAGCAGUGUGACUGCAUCAUCAUCAUCAGUUUUCCAUGGUGUCCCUUUGUUGUCAUAGUGAUGCUGCAGAGUGAAGAUGGUUCCUCUAAUGUUGAGGUGUUGGUGGGCUGUAGCGGUCACAUUUCUCCCACUCGGCUGCGUGCCUCGGUUUAAGGUCUGAACCAGGUCUAAAGGACUAACAAGACAGACUUUUUUAGGAAGCAAAAACUAGCAAAAAAACUAGCAAUCUGUUAUUUUUAUAGGAGUUAUGCGAACUUAUGUCUCAUAGAGUUCAAAUAACCUCAAUCAUGAGAGAGAGAGAGAAACAAACAAAGACAGAGGUUCAGUGGGUCUUUGUAUCUGUCUCUUAAAGGUCUCUCUGGAUUCAUCAGGCUUUAUAAACUUGUUUCUGCUGGUGAAGGGAAUGUUACAUGGAGAAAAAACUUUGACUGUGAAAACAAAGAAAUCUUCAACUCUUCAAAUGUUCAGAGUCAAACCAGCUCUAACCUGCUAAAAAACGAUUUGAUCUGAACCAAUCAUAGAAAAAGGAGCUGCUGCUGUGAUUUAGUGAGUCGUCCUCUGAUUGGUCAACAGGCCGUCUGUCAAACCAAAGAUCAUGUUUAAGUUGUUUUUGGUGAAGAGAAACAUCAAAUUACCCUUCAAUGAAAUAUUGUUUGAUGUUUAUGUUGUUACAGAUUUUCUGACUGUGGACUCUCAAAGACUCACUGUAAAUUUGUGGCCUCAGCCCUGAAGUCCGACCCCUCCUAUCUGAGACAUCUGGACCUGAGUGGAAACAAACUGCAGGAUUCAGGAGUGAAGCUUCUCUCUGCAGGACUGCAGAGUCCAAACUGCAGACUGAAGAUUCUGAGGUCAGACACCAUUUCCUUCUGAUCUAACAAUAAGAUGUGACAGUUGCUGCCUUAGAUUUUUCUCUGUGGUUUUUCCAUCACCUUUAGUCGAGCAGUUUGAAUUGGAGUUGUAAAACUUCUACUCAAAGUCAACUCUGAAAUGUUUGAUUUUUCUUCCUGUGUUGAAUGAUGGAUGUAGAAAGGAAGCAGGAGAAAAUCAGUCCCACAAAUAUUACACAUGCUUGUAGAGGGCAGGAGCAGCACAGACUAAAGGCUGAUAUUGAACUGAUCCACAGUUAAUGUGAUCACUAAUGAAUGAAUGAAGUGUCAGAGAAAUGAUUAGCUGCAGAUUGAAACCUUAAGAACAAAGUUAAUCCAACUCUGGAUAUUUCAUUUGGAAACUCUUGAAAACUUGAAUUUCUUCUUUGCUCAGUCGUGUUCAAAUGUAAAAACCAGAUCCAGAUUUUUCUGCAGUUUUCACUUCAGUUUGUUGAACAUUAACAUCAUCUUGUCCAGUUGGUCCAUAAAAACCUCUCUGAUCAAUGAUCUGUUGGUUUAUUUACGAGUAGUUUGUCAGUUGUUGACGGCAGACGGACAGAGCCCUGAAUAAACUCCUGACUGUUUUCAUCUUCAUGAAGAAUUCAGGACUACAAAAAAACCUUUGAGAUUUCUCACAUUAAUUUCUCAGGAUCUCACUAAAGUUUUCUGUAUUCUAAACAUAUUCUUGACUGAAUUAUUCCUCAGGAUCUUCACAAAGUUUAGAGAGAAUUUCACAAAGUUCCUCAAGAUCAACUCUGAAAAAGUUCUCCUUCCAUGUCCCUCAGGGGCUCAAGAACAUUGAAUCAUUAAAGCAGGAACAGUUUCUUUAGAGGUUCAAUGAUUUUUUUUUUUUUUCAGAUUGAGUGACUGCAGUUUGUUUAGCUGUUCUUCUCUGGCCUCGGCUCUGUAUUUCAAUCCCUUCCAUCUGAGACAGUUGGACCUGAGUGACAACAAAUUGCAGGAUUCAGGAGUGGAGCUGCUGUGUGACUUUCUGCAGGAUCCAAACGGUAAACUGGAGCAUCUGGGGUAAGUUUAGUCUUUGUCUGUUUCUGGUGUAGAUUUUAAUGUUUAAUCAUUUUUUUUAACCCAAUUCAAAUGUUCACAGACUUCUUGAAUAUUUCCAGAACUUUCUUCUCACUCACAUACAUUCAUAGUUUUUAUUGAAUCAGCAGUCAGAUACAGAUAGAGGAAAAUGAGCACUGUGAGUUAUUUUGUUGAUUGAAUGUUGAUGAUUUUUUAUCAAUGGUUCAGAUGAGCACUGCAGUGAUGUUGAGGGGUUUACUUCCUCGGUCUCUAAAACAUUUAAAUGUUCAAGGAUGCAGUGAACUCAGUUUCCAUGCAGCUCAGAAACACAGCUCAUCUUUUUCAAACUUCAAAAUUCUUGAGACUGAAUUUUGUUUGUCAUGAGAUGUGACAGCUGAUUUUAUAAAUUAACUUGAAGAUAACUUCAGAGACAUUUUGAACAUAUUCGUGAGUUAAUAUUCAUUAAUUACAACCAUAUCAUAGUGAUAUCAGACAGGAGUGUGACAGGUGUUUAUUAGUCUUUUUGACACGUUACAAUAAUGAGGAUAAAGUCAUGGACUAAACUUGGGCUCCCAGUUUCCUUGUUGUUGUUGUUGCUUCAGCUAGCAUCAUUGUUUUCAUCACAGUUAUUAAAGUAAUAAUGAUGCUUCAUGAAUUCAGAGUCACAAAAAACACCAAACAAACCAAAUCUGAAAAAAAUCCACUUUUUCAUCAAAUGUGUUUAAUCUGUCAGAACAUGAGGUUUGAGUUUUCAUGAGGAGGAAUAGAGAAAUAUCUGCAAUGAUAGAUAGAAACACAGACACCUGAAUUUACACUGACAGACACACAAACACAGACAGAGAGACACAAACAGGGAUUUCCACUUUGUCACUUUGCUCUGAUGACUGAAGUCACAAAAACAAAGUUUUCUUUGUCACUUUUAUGAUUGAACCAAAUAAGUUCAAGAACCAAACUCUCAGAUUUUGUUCUUCCCAAUAUUAUUUGAACCAUUUUGAUUUUUCUUCUGAUCAAUAUUCAAUGAUCAGAUUGAUUAGGUUCCUGUUUUGGCUCCACUGCCUCUUUUCUGCGAGCUCAAUAACUGCUCAUAUGGUUUGAAAGGUUCCUGCUGCAAAACCCGAUUAGAGAGUGGACUAAAUGAAAUGUGAGUGAACUCAGCCAUCAGUGAAUAAAUGACAAAGUGAGAGGAAGAGUGGAUCUGUCUGCUCUCUGACCUUGUUGAUCCUGAUGAAGGUGAGGGAGAAGAGUAAAGCAGUAAAGGUGAUGUUGUUGCAGACAGAGUCAGCUGACCUGUCUCAUCAGAGUCUCAUCCAUUCUCUGUUUAGCAGAGCGCUGAUGUUACAGUCUGAGAGCACAUUCAGGUUCAGCUUCACAUGGGCUGGAUCUGCUCAAUACAAACUCUUGAGACCAGCCUGGUUGAGGGAGGUGGGCUCAGUGUCCUGGGUGACUCUCUCUGAGCUCUUCUUGGUUGAGAGUAUUUCUGGUUUGUCUCUGACUUCCAUGAACUCAGAUCUGGAGGAUUGCUGGCUGGUCCGGUCCAGUGCUGACAGUAGAGACAACACAGUCUGUUAUUCUGGGUUGGGUGUUCUUGUUGAAGAUCAGUGUACAGUGAGGGAUGAAGGCAGACAAAGAUCCUCCUGUUUCCUCCAUGUCACAGUUCAAGUUCAUUUUGAAGACUUUUAUUGAUCCGAGCGCUGAAGAGGAACAGGAAACAUGGAGUAGAGAGUGAGGGAGGACUUACAGCAAAGGAUCAUGGGAGUCUAACCAGCAACUGCUACGACAAGGACUCCACCUUCUGAACACCUGAACCUCUAAUCCAAACCAGUGCUCCAUCACACUUGAUGUCUUGUCUGUUAUUUAACAUGGAGGGUCAGAGCAGACCAGAUAAUGAGCUCUGACAGACUGGAUCUGGUCCAAAGGUCUCCUGUUGGAGUUCUCGAAGCUCCAUAUUUUAAAUCUGAACACGUGAAGUUUGAUUAUUAAUUAUUUUUAUCUACAUUCUCUUUCCUUUUUUCAGACUGAGUGGCUGCAGUUUGUCAGAGAUCAGCUGUUCUUCUCUGGCCUCAGCUCUGAAGUCCAACCCCUCCCAUCUGAGUGAGCUAAACUUGGGUAACAACGAUCUGCAGGACUCAGGAGUGAAGCUGCUGUGUGACUUUCUGCAGAGUCCAAACUGUAAACUGGACAUUCUGGGGUAAGUUUGUUGAUGAUGUUUUCAUGUCUAGAGGACAUGCUGGAGUGAAUUCAACCAAACCUCCUGAGAAAAAGACAGCAGUGGCAGACAUUAGAUCAGACUUCAUGACGUCUGUGCGUCCCGUUAAUCAACCAAAUCAGCAGUCUGAGAGUUUUCCCUCAUCUCUUUAGAUUUGAUGGUUUUUGUGAUUUUAAUGUUUCCACACAAACUUUAAAUUGUUGAAACUGAAUUUUGUUCGUCAUGAUAAUGUGACAGCUGAUUUUAUAAAAAAACUUUUAGAUUUGGAGUUAAAGUGUUUCAAUUUCAGACAUUUUGAACAUAUUUAUGAGUUUUUAUUCAUUAAUUACAACCAUAUCAUACUGAUAUCAGACAGGAGUGUGACAGGUGUUUAUUUUGUCUUUUUGACACGUUACAAUAAUGAGGAUAAAGUCAUGGACUAAACUUGGGCUCCCAGUUUCCUUGUUGUUGUUGUUGCUUCAGCUAGCAUCGUUUUCAUCACAGUUAUUAAAGUAAUAAUGAUGCUUCAUAAAUCCAGAGUCACAAAAAACACCAAACAAACCAAAUCUGAAAAAGAUCCACUUUUUCAUCAAAUGUGUUUAAUCUGUCAGAUCAUGAGGUUUGAGUUUUCAUGAGGAGGAAUAGAGAAAUAUCUGCAGUGACAGAGAGAAACACAGACGCCUGAAUUUACACUGACAGACACACAAACACAGACAGAGAGACACAAACAGGGAUUUCCACUUUGUCACUUUGCUCUGAUGACUGAAGUCACAAAAACAAAGUUUUCUUUGGUUCUUGAACUUAUUUGGUUAAAUCAUAAAAGUGACAAACUCUCAGAUUUUGUUCUUCCCAAUAUUAUUUAAUGAGCUCUUUCAAACUGGAUCUGGUCCAAAGGUCUCCUGUUGGAGUUCUCUAGGCUUGAUUUUUUUAAACCUGAAAACUUGAAGUUUGAUUAUUAAUUAUUUUUAUCUACAUUCUUUAUCCUUUUUUCAGGCUGUGGAGCUGCGGGUUGUCAGAGAUCAGCUGUUCUUCUCUCGUCUCAGCUCUAAAGUCCAACCCCUCGCAUCUGAGAUUUCUGGACCUGAGUGACAACAAAUUGCAGGAUUCAGGAGUGAAGCUGCUGUGUGACUUUCUGCAGGAUCCAAACUGUGAACUGGCGAUUCUGGGGUUAGUUUAUUCUUUGUCUGUUUCUGGUGUAGCUUUUGAUGUUUAAUCAUUUUUUUAACCCAAUUCAAAUGUUCACAGACUUCUUGAAUAUUUCCAGAACUUUCUUCUUACUCACAAAGGUGACAAAGAUCCUCCUGUUUCCUCCAUGUCACAGUUCAAGUUCAUUUUGAAGAGUUCUCUAAGCUCGACAUUUUAAACCUGAACAUAUGAAGUUUGAUUAUUAAUUAUUUUUAUUUACAUUCUCUUUCCUUUUUUCAGACUGAGUUUCUGCAGUUUGUCAGAGAUCAGCUGUUCUUCUCUGGCCUCAGCUCUGAAGUCCAACCCUUCCCAUCUGAGAAACCUGGACCUGAGUGGAAACGAUCUGCAGGAUUCAGGAGUGAAGCUGCUGUGUGACUUUCUGCAGAGUCCAAACUGUGAACUGGAGAUUAUAGAGUGAGACUUUUUUCCUCCAUUCAAACAUUAUCAUGAUUUGUUUGUGAUGAUGACACUAAACUGCUGACUCAGGACUGAAAUACUGACCCAGACUGAACACCUUCAGUCCAGAGUAGAUUUUCUGCAUCAGUGGAUUAUUUGAUUGACUCCAGUUCGAUCACUGCUGAGCUCCAGUGAAUUAAAACCUGAACCCAAGAAGAAACUCUUUGUAGAGUUCACAGUGAGAAGCACAUUCAGACAGAAAACAGAAGCAGGGGGAGAUUUGUCAGACGAGAACCAUUCAAACUUUUGUUCAGGACAAGAUCAGGGAAUAGAAAAAACUCAGAGUUUAGUUUCUGACACUGAUGAAAGUCCAGCUCUGUUACUUUGAAUUUUGAUUGUUUUUAAAUCUUUGUGUGAAAAUCUGAAUUUGAUGGUUUAUCAUGUGUUUUUGAAUUCACUGUUUCAAACUGACUUCCUGUUUGGUUCAGCUCUUUGGAGCGUCACUUUUCUCUGAUUCAUACUUUCCAAACCUUUCCCCUGAACUCUACAGAUUUAAGACAUCAGGUUUCAAACUGGAUCAUUUUUCUCUAAAAUCUCAUUAUUUCCUCUUUAUUUAGGUUGAAAUACUGCAGUUUGACAAAGAUCAGCUGUUCUUCUCUGGCCUCAGCUCUGAAGUCCAACCCCUCCCAUCUGAAAACUCUGGACCUGAGAGACAACAAUCUGCAGUAUUCAGAUCUGAAGCCGCUGCGUGAUCUUCAGAAGAGUCUAGACUACAGCCUGGAGGAUCUGAGGUCAGUAUAGAGUUGGAGUUGCAGAUAUUCAGUAUUUCCUGCUGACUCUUCGACCCUCUCAGAGGAUUCUUUCUUUAGUGAAGCUGUGAGAACAGAAAUCAUCAAACCAGGAGUGUAAGAGUGUCAGUCAUGAAAAAAGUGUCUCCUCGUCUCUAUAUUUCAGAUCAAAUGUAGAAAUGAGACAUAAUGAAACAGAAAUGUUCAGUUUCUGCUCUGAAGUCCAGUUUAUAGUUCUCUGUAUUCAACACAGACUUUAUUUCUCUGCUAACUUGUUGAUUUUGAGCUCUAAGUCUGAAAACAGACAGCUGUUCUUUAUACUUGUUAUUUUCACAGCAGGUUUGUUCGAUCAGCUUUAACACAUUUGACAGGAAGGAUUUCUUUAUUUUGAUGAUGUUGGUUUAUUUGUGAGGAAACCUGCUGCUUUACACCAUCACUUCUGGUCUGAGCAGGACUGAGACCUGCUGGUCUGUAAACUGGAUGUUCUUCAGUCCAGCUGAUGAAGUGAGUCUCAGAGUGGAAACACUGAUCGUCUUUUUUUCUCUCCGCAGCCGGGUUGACCUCAAGAGUGAUGAUGAAGAGGAUGAUCUGUCUUCUGAUGAUCAGAGAGGUGAAGGCAGCAGUAGUGAGGAUGAGUCUCUGACUUGGCCAUGUUACUGAGAGACUGACUGACCAAUCACAGCGGACGGAGAGGACUCUGGGAGCUGCACUUUGACCUGCUCUGAGAUCAGCUCAGGACCUGGACUCUGGAUAUUUGAUAUUUUCCCUCAUAUUCUGGGAUCAAACAGUCUGAACAGGUUUGUUUUGUUUAUGGAAACAUGAUCAUAAAUUCACCCACCCCCAUGAUGCAGCGCCACCUAGUGGAAAUAUAAAGCGGUGGAGUUGAUGUAUUCCCACAGACUUCUGCAGCAGGAGUUGAUACCAUGUGUGACAGUAGAUCAGUCAGAAGUUCUGAUUAAGGCUGUUUUUCAGGGACCAAAACUUUCUGUCUGUCAGAACAUUUAGAGCUAAAAUCUGGGAGAGUUAAGACUAAUCUAAACAAAGUGUUGAGUUUCAGAACAGUACAACACGUCGUCAUGGGUAGCCUCCUGGAGGAUAGAUAUGAUGUACCCAUGAUGAUGAAAGACUCAUACACACACACACACACACAUAUCAGAGGUACAAGCAGUUUCAAAGGGAGUAGACGAAAGGCUUAGGGAGCUUUCUUUGGUUUUGGUCAAAACUCUGUCAUCUUUACUGAUUUCUACAUCUGUACAAUAAAAGACACCCAGGCUGUGCUUCAGAUCUCAUCCUGUCUCCUGUGCAUUGUUUUACUGAGUUUAUGCUGGAUUCUCCACUACAUCCCUGUACAUGUUUUUGUUCUCAUAUAAUCUUUGAGCUCAUCAAUAAUCGAUUCCCUCCUGUUUGGAUGUACAAACACAAUCAUUAAACCAUAAAUGAGACCUGAAUGUAAAAGUAAAAUGUGUGAAAUAUAAUUUGUCAAAGCAAAGAUUCUUGAACAAAAAAACUCCAAAGCUUUUCUAUCCCACAGAGAAGAUCGGUUUGUUUUCAGAGACCUUCCUGAUCCCAUCCCUCCAAAAUGAAAAUAAUCUGAUGAUUUAUUAACUGCUGAAUCAAAAACAUAAGUUGUUCCUUAUUUUCUUUACGCAAACGUUUGUGUUCAUUUAAUCAUUUUCCAUGUUAAGCUGGAUGGUGGGGAUUUGUCGUGUUAUGUGCAUAUAUUCAUGUAAGGACUCUUAAACAAGUGGUUGCGACACGUCGUUAUCUGUUCCACAAUGGCUGUCUUGCUUUCCUUCUUCUCAACUCUGAGUGUUCGGUUGUACGGGACAUCGUAAUAAGUUAUUCACAGUUUUUUUAAUGAAAAUUUUAUGGUAGUUUGUUGCUGGUUAAUGAUAGUUCAUUCGUUUUCUUUGACAGCCAAGUUAGCCAAAGAAACAAGUCAAACAAGAAAUUGUUAUUAAAAUCUUGUAACUUGUCAGGAAAGCUCCUGCAUCUUGCAAAGUAUUGGUGAUUUCUUUUCUUGUUUCAUCUGAAAAAUUCGUAGGAGAUGGUAAAAGACCUCUCGCUUUAAGUUUGCAUGGUCUUAUCAAAAUUAGCUGCUGUUCUGCGCUUUUUAACUUAUUUUAGUUUUUUCUAGGAUUAUAAUUAAUUAAAUGUGUGGUAAUGUUAAAUGAGCAUCAUGAAGAGAGAGCGACAUUGACAACCUUAAGACAGAGCUGGAGGUAGAGAAGCACUCAUCUGUAGUUUGUUGGUUUGACCAGCAGGUGGAGCUGCUGUGUAAACAAUAAACUGAGACUCAACCAAA